GAGCUCCUCAGUGACCCAGCCUAAUGUCCUCAGUGUCCAACUACUGCCAGAUUUUGUAUUCCUUCUGCAGCUAAGAAGUGUGUGAAGUUGUGCUACUCAACUGUGUGAUGACAAAACUGGCCAAAGUUCUUAGUCACCGAUGCCUGUUGGCCUCACUGUUACACACUUCAGCACCUCAUGUAAUGCAUUAUCAGAAUUGGCCAGGGUAGUUUCCUUUGGAUGACAUCUGAAAACAGUGGUUUGAGCAUUUUAGCUACAUAAAGUGCUGAUGUCUUGUUUUCAUUAGUACAACUUACUAAUAAAUUGUUAUAACAUUAUUUACCUGAGAAAAGCGUCUGUGUCCAGGCUAAAUAAGCAACAUGCUCCGUUUGAAGAAUUUAAAUUCUCAGUCUUGUCAUCUGAUAAACAUUGCUUUACUUGGGUUGUUUCACCUGAAGAGUACUAUUAGUGCUGCUUUUGCUGUCAUUUACAUUCAUUUAGUUUUCUUAAUGUUAUACCAAAUUUGUGUAUGUUUUUACCUUUUAAGCUUUACCUCAAACACAUCAGGUUCUAAUAUGUCUGUAGCUUGUAUUGAAGAAAAAACCAAAACUGGAUUUGAAUAGUCAGUUAAUGGAGAAUAAUCAGGAUUCUAACAGUAAUAACAGUAAUGCAAGUGGCCACGACCACAAGUUCUGCUUUCUGCGCUUCCUUCUGUGCUGCUUUUAAGGAUAAAUUAUAAUUAUAUUAUGUUUACAAUGAAUCUAUCUGAACAAUUUCUAGUGAUGCUCUUCCAUGCUGUUACUUUAGCAAACUUAGGGCAUUUGCCACUGGAUAAUACAGUUGUUUUUCUCACCCCACAGCUACCUUAUCUUCUCAUAUCAUUGUUCUUUUCCUUUCUGUUCUAUUUGCCUAGUUAAAAUCUUAAGUCUGAAGAAGGUGGGUGGAGGGAGGGAUGUCUGUAAAAACUGCUUUUUCUUUCUGUGCCUGGGUUAAAUGAUGUUUAUCUUUUGCCUCUUGUGGAAGCACUAAAUAAUACACAAAUAAAUAAAUUAUAAAAGACUAUG
Molecule: long non-coding RNA, 1043 nt
Organism: Calidris pugnax (ruff)
Lineage: Eukaryota; Metazoa; Chordata; Aves; Charadriiformes; Scolopacidae
Exons: 2
Source: RefSeq, a predicted model, not a curated record